RNAcentral lists this ribosomal RNA (498 nucleotides) under uncultured bacterium. RNAcentral's name for it is "partial 16S ribosomal RNA". It matches the Rfam family "Bacterial small subunit ribosomal RNA", at positions 28 to 507 of the family's 1533-position model. The record is from RNAcentral.
GAUGAACGCUGGCGGCGUGCCUAAUACAUGCAAGUCGAGCGAACUUUUGGGAGCUUGCCCCCACAAGUGAGCGGCGGACGGGUGAGUAACACGCGGGGAACCUGCCUGUAAGACUGGGAUAACAUCGCGAAAACGGGGCGAAAACCGGAUAACAUUUAAGACAACAUGGGCUUCAAUUAAAAAGUGGGGUUUAGCUACCACUUAUAGAUGGACCCGCGGCGCAUUAGCUAGUUGGUGAGGUAACGGCUCACCAAGGCGACGAUGCGUAGCCGACCUGUGAGGGGGGUCCGCCACCACGGGAACGGGGACCGGGCCAAGCUCCUUCGGGGGGCCGCCGUAAGGGAACCUCCGCCAAUGGCCGAAGUCUGACGGGGCCACGCCGCCUGAGCGGAGGAGGCCUUCGGGUCGUUAAGCUCCUUUGUUUAGGGAGAACCAGUAGCGUUCGUAUCGAGCGGUGCCUUGACGGUACCUAACCAGAAAGCCACGGCUAACUACGUG